RNAcentral lists this ribosomal RNA (253 nucleotides) under uncultured bacterium. RNAcentral's name for it is "partial 16S ribosomal RNA". It matches the Rfam family "Bacterial small subunit ribosomal RNA", at positions 524 to 776 of the family's 1533-position model. The record is from RNAcentral.
UACGUAGGGUGCGAGCGUUAAUCGGAAUUACUGGGCGUAAAGCGCGUGUAGGCUGCUCUGCGUGUCGGAUGUGAAAGCCCUGGGCUCAACCUAGGAAGUGCAUUCGAAACUGCAGAGCUGGAGUCCUGGAGAGGAAGGCGGAAUUCUCGGUGUAGAGGUGAAAUUCGUAGAUAUCGAGAGGAACACCGGUGGCGAAGGCGGCCUUCUGGACAGUGACUGACGCUGAGACGCGAAAGCGUGGGGAGCAAACAGG